GGCGACGUGGCCAAGCGGUAAGGCAGAGGCCUGCAAAGCCUUCACCACCGGUUCGAAUCCGGUCGUCGCCUCCA
Molecule: transfer RNA, 74 nt
Filed under: Coriobacteriales bacterium
Lineage: Bacteria; Bacillati; Actinomycetota; Coriobacteriia; Coriobacteriales
Description: tRNA-Cys
Rfam family: tRNA
About the family: Transfer RNA (tRNA) molecules are approximately 80 nucleotides in length. Their secondary structure includes four short double-helical elements and three loops (D, anti-codon, and T loops).
Source: RNAcentral